Non-coding RNA from Pseudonaja textilis, 1530 nucleotides. Lineage: Eukaryota; Metazoa; Chordata; Lepidosauria; Squamata; Elapidae. The record is from RefSeq and is a predicted model, not a curated record.
UUUUCCUAUAUUGAUCCUUCAUUUACUGCACUUUGAGCAGCUUCCUAUUGUUGACCUCCAUCAAAGCUGGUUCAACACUAUCUUUCACAUAAUCUGCCAGAGCAUGCUUCUCUUCUUCGACUGUCUGCUUCACUUGCAAAAGUCCUCUGCCACCUGCUUUUCUGGGCAAAUAUAGCUUGUCAACAUCACUACACAGGUGCAGCGCAUAGUGUAUGGUCAUCAAUUUUCUUGUUUUCCUAUCCAGGCUGUCCAGCUCUGCCUGUGUCCAGUUUAUGAUCCCAGCAGUAUAUCUGAUGAUGGGUAUGGCCCAGUUUGUAGAACUUGCCCAAAGUCUUAAAAGAACUCACCUCCACUGACUGAGAGCCAAGCUGUUCCCUCAGAAACAGACACCAAUUGGCAAGGAAAAAAGCUAUCUAUGCAGAAGCAAAUGGGCUGCUUCAGUGAUUUAAAUGCUUCUGUCUCUGGGACAACCUAAUUCAAUUGAACUCUUUAAGUUUUCCUUUGUUGGUGUGCUUUGUUCCAGGCCAGAUACUGCUAUGCAAGGGAACCUUUUCAUUUGUUUUCAUUGAUACUGCCUAGAUCACUUUUAUGGUUGUGGGUUACAUCUUUUUAAAGUGUAUCCUUUAUUUAUAUUUAUUUGAUUUAGACUAUGAAGUGAAUCUGCCCUGAAAAACAAUGGUUCUGAAAGGUAUUUGCAUUUCCUUAACAGAGAGGAGGAGAGCUGAUUGGGCCACUGGUAGCCUAACUUGCACCAUUGGGAGAAAGGCUUUGCCAUCUCCAGUUUGAGAAUCUGAAUGAUAGUGUAGCACUUCCCAAUUCCACUACUUCUGAAUCCUUGAAGAAGGGAGAAUCAUUGCCUGCAGGGAGAAGAGCACUGGAAUUAAUGGUAUCUUUCAGGAAAUCUGUCAUGAGUAUGGAUCCUUUAUUGUCAGUUGUAUAUAUCCAUAGCAAAUUGAAAGAAUGUUUAUUUCAGGGCGGCUAAGGAAAACGUGCCGUACAAGAAUAUUCUGUCGGUUAAUUGACUUGUUACAGCAUGUGAUGGACAAAAGACAUGGUCUCUAGGAUGAUUUGAUCUCAUAGUUUCAAACUUAAAUCUUUUGUCUUUCCUGUUUAUUGCAGCAUAAACAUAUUAACAGUUCUUCAAAUAACAUGGUCAAUAAAAAGGAGAGCAAGCCCAAGGGCUUUCUUCUUUUCUUUCUUUUCUUUUUUGGCACCUCAAAACGCAAAUCUCUCACAAAGCAAAAACAAACAGACAAACUUAGAGCUGCCAAUGAGCAGUAGCAUCAGAAAGUUAUUUGCAGAUGUCUGGAAGCAAGUUUCUCUUACUGGCCAUUUAAAUAUGGGAACAAACAAGUAACAGCUUAUAUCUUUGAAAACUUUCACAUGUCUUCAAAAGCAAGAAGAAACAUGACAAGCAGGAAGAAAUUGUAGUGAUUGAAGGUCCCUUAAUUACAAUGAAGAGUUUUGUGGGGACUCUCCAAUCUAUGGGAUAGAUGCUAAGCUUUAUAUUACAUUUUGAUACAUUCAGAU